This 946-nucleotide ribosomal RNA is filed under the name uncultured marine bacterium. RNAcentral's name for it is "bacterial SSU rRNA". It matches the Rfam family "Bacterial small subunit ribosomal RNA", at positions 56 to 1001 of the family's 1533-position model. The record is from RNAcentral.
UGCAGUCGAGGGAGAAGUUUAAUGCUUGCAUUAAACAGAAACCGGCGCACGGGUGCGUAACACGUAUGCAACCUACCUUUAACUGGGGUAUAGCUUGAAGAAAUUCAAAUUAAUCCCCCAUAACAUAUUGAAAUCGCAUGAUUACAAUAUCAAAGCUCCGGCGGUUAAAGAUGGGCAUGCGUCCCAUUAGUUAGUUGGUGAGGUAACGGCUCACCAAGACCGCGAUGGGUAGCGGGUUUGAGAGGAUGAUCCGCCACACUGGUACUGAGACACGGACCAGACUCCUACGGGAGGCAGCAGUAGGGAAUAUUGGGCAAUGGACGAAAGUCUGACCCAGCCAUGCCGCGUGCAGGAAGACAGCCCUAUGGGUCGUAAACUGCUUUUAUAUAGGAAGAAACCCCUUGUUUCUACAAGGGCUGACGGUACUAUACGAAUAAGGAUCGGCUAACUCCGUGCCAGCAGCCGCGGUAAUACGGAGGAUCCAAGCGUUGUCCGGAUUUAUUGGGUUUAAAGGGUGCGUAGGCGGGACAAUAAGUCAGUGGUGAAAGCCUGCAGCUUAACUGUAGAAUUGCCAUUGAAACUGUUGUUCUUGAGUCCGGUUGAGGUUGAUGGAAUAUAUCAUGUAGCGGUGAAAUGCUUAGAUAUGAUAUAGAACACCAAUUGCGAAGACAGUCAACUAAACCGGUACUGACGCUGAGGCACGAAAGCGUGGGGAGCGAACAGGAUUAGAUACCCUGGUAGUCCACGCUGUAAACGAUGUUCACUCGCUGUUGGCGAUACACUGUCAGCGGCCAAGCGAAAGCAUUAAGUGAACCACCUGGGGAGUACGAUCGCAAGGUUGAAACUCAAAGGAAUUGACGGGGGCCCGCACAAGCGGUGGAGCAUGUGGAUUAAUUCGAUGAUACGCGAGGAACCUUACCAGGGCUUAAAUGGCAUCUGCCUUUUG